Molecule: non-coding RNA, 1508 nt
Organism: Schizosaccharomyces pombe (fission yeast)
Lineage: Eukaryota; Fungi; Ascomycota; Schizosaccharomycetes; Schizosaccharomycetales; Schizosaccharomycetaceae
Source: the annotation of a GenBank genome assembly
UACCUCGACUAGGCAAAAAAACACCUUGCUUGUCACGGAGAACAACACGAUGCCGCUGCUGAUGAAAAGUAUAAACAAUUUCCAAUUCUUUUUCAUUGUCAGAAAAUAAUGGAUAUAUUCCGAUAAUUGACGACUAAAUCAACAGUUAGCAAUCAAAACAAAAAUGAAAUGUUAAGCGACAUAGUUUUACCUUUGAAACACUAGAAGGGAUAGCUAAACGAGAGUUUUCAACUAAAGCAGCAAUUGAUAUAGUCACAUCUUGCUUUAAAUCAGGUUCGUUUGCACCGCAAUUAACGACUCGGUACUCGGCAUACUCAAUAACCAGACCGCCUUUCUCCAUUUCCAAUUUCUGUUUUUUCUCUACAAUUUCCUUCAUCAAUUUAACAGCUCGAAUUGCAGAAACUUUCUUGCGUUCUUGAGAAUCCUUAAGUUUUUGUAAUCGUAAUAAGCGCAGUCUUUUCUGAUUGGAAAGUCGCCUGGGACGGAGGAAAAAUUGCUCAACUCCAAGUAUAGAAGUAAUCGGAAAUACGAGACCCCAAAAGACUGCAGAACGAUCAAACACACUACACCACAUAAUAGGAAGAGAAAUCUUUUGACCAAGGCGUGACCAACUAAAAAAAUUAGUAUUUGUAGUUGAGAAGAAAUCGAGAAAUGAACAUACUUAAGACUAAACGUAAUAGAGCCAGUUGGGACACCAACUGAAAUAUUUACUCCAAAGGUUGAAUAACGGCCAACUUUACGACUCGUAUCACCGGAAACCUGAAGACCUCCUACUGUACUCAUCGAAGUCCCGAGUUUGAUUUGAUAUGGUGAGUCCUCAGUUGCAUUUUUUAAAUUAUAGUUGUAAGCAAUACCGCUAUACAUUAAACCAGCAGUAACUUCAGCGUUCCAACUGAGUUGAGGGACCAAACUAUUUGGAAUAGCUUUCAUUUGCUGCCAAGUAAGUGAAAAUGAGGAAUUCGCUCCACGAGGGGAAGCAAUUCCCCAAGAACCAAGUGACCACACACCAGUUUUCCAGCGUGCUGUAAGAGUACCAAAGCGAGUGAUUUGUCGUCCGAUGACUACGGUGGCUUGCGGGGGACGCUUUAGACCCGAUAUUUGAAUAAGAGGGACAAUAAAAGUUUGGUUAUUGAUAGCGUACACUGACUUGACGGUAAUUAAACCUGGCCUCAAAAGAGAAAAUCCAAUUUCAGAACUAAGGUUAGGAGAGGGCUGAGAAUGAUAAACGGCAAAAAUGGAAGGUUGAAGCUUUGAGUUUUGUCUCAUUGAUGCUUCAGUGACUAUAGAUAAACGAGAGGAUGUUUUAUGGUUGCCUUCAUCUUCAUCUGAAGGCGCGGAAAAUUCAUCAUCAAAAGAGCCUGAGGAAAAAGAAUUGAAAGACGGCUUUUUGAGGUCAUUGGAAAACGAUGUUGGAAUAGAGAAAGAGCUUUUAAUUUGAAAAGAUACCCACUGGAUUAAGGAAAAUCGUUCAUAAGGGGUCAGCAUUCUAGUACCAGCACCUAAACCAA